UUACACCGAAUGACCGUUAUCAAAACGUAUACCGAUGCUUUAAAAUAUUAAAAAUGUGCUAACUGCUAGAAAUUAUCGAUUCAGUUAUAACGAUAUCCGCUUUGAGAAUCCUAUUAGCGAUGAAAGAGUAGCGUCUUUAAGCUGACACUUACUCUCGAGCGUAGACCGAUAAGUGCCAGAGGAAAGCGAGACGCGCGAGUCAGCUGGGCAAACGCUCACGCGACAUGUGCGUGACGUCUAGUGCAUAUAUGCAGCCAGACUGCACUGAAGUGUGUCUUGCGCGGAACACCUAACCCUUUGUAUUUUUCGAGUGAAACGCCGUGUAUGUAAUUAAAGCUCGCUCUAGAGGAUGUGGCAGAAGUAUUAAAAAAUCCGCUAACGGAUCAAGAUUGAUUCAACGUCAGCGUCUGCUGUGCGCAAAAAUAAAGCUAUAGCCGUACACAACAGCAAUAUCCUCGCGUCAGACACGUGUGCAGUGAGCAGCUCACGACGUGCUGACGAAGAAAAGUGAAUGGAUGGGUUGACUUUGAAGUCAAAAAUAGCCGAAAAAAUUCCUCUCCUCCUGGAAGAGCGCAGACUGCACCCGCGCAGAAAAAAAAAUGGCCAGACGACGGCAAUGAACCGAAUAGUCUCGUCUCAGAGGAUGUAGCAAAACGCGGCCAUCAACCGUCCUAAUCGUCAUUUUCACCCACGCGAGCAACGUCGAAUGCGAAUUCCCAUACUGCGACUGUAGACAAAAGCGAUUUCGAGCGACGCAUUGCCAAAAAAAGCGAACUGAAAAAAUCAAUCGCCAAUAGCUCUGCAGGAAAGCGCAUCGAUCGUCAUAUACAUAUAGCGACAGGGAGAGAGAGAACGGAGCUUAUUCGCCGCGUCGACUAGACGACGAUUUAAUCCCGAGCGGCGGAUCUGAAUUUCCCAUCGGCGCGACCGGAUGCCAAUGGAAAAAUAUACGCGGCCGGAAGAACAGAGGGCCGACGCCGCUAUGUAUGCCCUCGAACCCCCUUUAUACGAUGUAUAUAUAGGUAGAUGCGCGUAAUGUGCACCCGCACGUGGGAUGGAUAUGAUGUAUGCGUGCGCCGCGCAGCUACUGAAAUCUAGCGACGUUUCGAGUGAUGCAUUGUUAUGGAUUAGGCUGCUGAUGAAAUUCGAAUUUUUUCUUACGAGCUCUAACGCCUACGAAACUGUAUAUCAAUCGGCUGAAGGGCGGCAGACAAUUGGGCGCGCUCCUGCGGCAUUCUGAAUCGCAAGGGAGAUUUGGCCUUUGAAUUCUUCCUAUAUUGCCGAGAAAUUUACGCGUUGUUCUUCUACCCAAACGCGGAAAAUAUAUUCGAGGGUCUUCUCUAUCGGAGGAGACGAGUGGAUUUUUCGGAGGUAGAAUUUUUCCGGGCAAACGUUUGAAUUCCAAUUUAUUUUUUCGGUGUUUGAAGUGAGAAUUCGGCGUAUUAAUAGGAUUAUUGAUCUUUUCGUAGACCAAAGUUUGGAUAUACCUACUGACGAGCGGUAAAACUGCCGCAUGCGUGUGAUAAAGGAACUCGAUCUUUUUCAUUACUUUUUUAUCGGCGAAAAUCGAACUGCUAUCCAUAAAGACGACAUAGUAUAGUCGCGCGCGUAUAUGAAUAAAAACUGCAGAGUCAGGCACAAAGUUCAAUCUCUCACUCUCUCGUAUACGGCUUUUCGGGCGAAAUCCAACCGAAAAUUCCCGACAUACCUAUCACUCACCGAUUUCCAAAAGCCCUUCUAAAACAAUGAAAAA
RNAcentral lists this long non-coding RNA (1753 nucleotides) under Nasonia vitripennis (jewel wasp). RNAcentral's name for it is "uncharacterized LOC103315723, transcript variant X1". The record is from RNAcentral. Lineage: Eukaryota; Metazoa; Arthropoda; Insecta; Hymenoptera; Pteromalidae.